GCCGGGUGUGGUGGCAAACACCUGUAGUCCCAGCUACUCGGGAGGCUGAAGUGGGAGGAUCGUUUGAGCCCGGGAGGUCAAGGCUGCAGUGAGCCAUGAUCAUGCCACUGCACUCUAGCCUGGGCAACCAAGUGAGACCCUGUCUCAA
RNAcentral lists this non-coding RNA (148 nucleotides) under Gorilla gorilla gorilla (western lowland gorilla). The record is from Rfam by way of RNAcentral. Lineage: Eukaryota; Metazoa; Chordata; Mammalia; Primates; Hominidae.